GAACGCCGUAUGAAAUGAAAGUUUCACGUACGGUGUGGGUCGGGGGAAAAGACGGAGAUAACAUCAAACUCUUACCUAUCGACAU
RNAcentral lists this non-coding RNA (85 nucleotides) under Clostridioides difficile. RNAcentral also lists the same sequence under 1 other name. The record is from RNAcentral. Lineage: Bacteria; Bacillati; Bacillota; Clostridia; Peptostreptococcales; Peptostreptococcaceae.